AGAAACAGGAGGGGUCAGCAAGAAGCAGGAAGGGUCAGCAAAAAGCAGGAAAGGUCAGUAAGGAGCAGGAGUGGUCACAAGUAGCAGGAGGGGCAGCAAGGAGCAGGAAAGGUCAGCAAGGAUUUGGAAGGGGCAGCAAGGAGCAGGAGGGGUCAGCAAGAAGCAGAAAGGGUCAGCAAGCAGCAGGAAGGGUCAGCAAGGAGCAGGAAAGGUCUGCAAGGAACAGAAAGGGUCAGCAAGGAGCAGGAGGGGUCAGCAAGAAGCAGGAUGGGUCAACAAGGAGCAGGAGGGGUCAGAAAGGAGCAGGUGGGGUCAGCAAGGAGCAGGAGGGGUCAGAAAGGAGCAAGAAGGGUCAGCAAGGAGCAGGAGGGGUCAGCAAGGAGUAGGGGGGUCAGCAAGGAUUAGGAAGGGGCAGCAAGGAGGAGGAUGUUCAGCAAAAAGCAGAAAGGGUCAGCAAGGGGCAGGAGGGGUCAGCAAGGAGCAGAAAGGGGCAGCAAGGAGCAGGAAAGGUCUGCAAUGAGCAGAAAGGGUCAGCAAUGAGCAGGAAGGAUCAGCAAUGAGCAGGAAGGGACAGCAAGGAGCAGGAAGGGACAGCAAGGAGCAGGAAGGGACAGUGCGGCGAAAGUGACCUCGACACUGGUUUUUGGAGGGGCCUUGUUGCCCGUCUCAUAUCUUCUGACUAUGGCCUCUGGGAGUUUUUGCCCAUUAUAAACAUUGUUUGGGCUUAUUGGAUUUUGGAACACUUUUUCUGCCCCUUUGAAUCCAUGGGAAGGUGUGCCUCUUCCCUUCCCCCCCAUUGUUCUCUAGCAGGGCGUUGUCCCAGGGACUCUGCCAGACCAGUUGGAACUGGCUGCUUUGUCCCUCCUCGGUCAGAAAAAGCACUUCCAACUAACUUUUUAACCACUGAAGGGAAUUGGUGAAUUUUGGAUAUGUUUAUAUUUGAAGUGUGCUGAUUAAUAAUAUGUAUAUCUUAUGGAGAUUGGAUGUAUAUUUUAGAAGAGUCAGAAAGGGGCAGGAGGGGUCAGCAAGGAGCAGGAAGGGGCAGCAAGGAGCAGGAGGGGUGAGCAAGGAGUAGGAAGGGGCAGCAAGGAGCAGGAGGGGUCAGGCAGGAGUAGGAGGGGUCAGCAAGGAGCAGGAUGGGUCAGCAAGGAGCAGGAUGGGUUAGCAAGGAGUAGGAAGGGUCUGCAAGGAGCAGGAGUGGUCUGCAAGGAGCAGGAGGGGUCAGCAAGGAAGAGUGGAAGGGGCAGCAAGGAGCAGGAGGGGUCAGAAAUGAGCAGGAAGGGUCAGCAAGGAGCAGGAAAGGUCAGCAAGGANNNNNNNNNNNNNNNNNNNNNNNNNNNNNNNNNNNNNNNNNNNNNNNNNNNNNNNNNNNNNNNNNNNNNNNNNNNNNNNNNNNNNNNNNNNNNNNNNNNNGGAGCAGGAAGGGGAAGCAAGGAGCAGGAAGGGUCUGCAAGGGGUAGGAAGGAUCAGCAAGGAAUUGGAAGAGUGAAAGGGGCAGCAAGGAGCAGGAGGGGUCAGCAAGGAGCAGAAAGGGUCAGCAAGGAGCAGGAUGGGUCAGCAAGGGGCAGGAUGGGUCUGCAAGGGGCAGGAGGGGUCAGCAAGGAGUAGGAAGAGGCAGCAAUGAGUAGGAAGAGGCAGCAAGAAGCAGGAGGGGCAGAAAAUGUCAGCAAGGAGUAGGAGGGGUCAGCAAGGAUUAGGAAGGGGCAGCAAGGAGCAGGAAGGGUCAGCAAGGAGCAUGAGGGGUCAGCAAGGAGCAGGAAGGGCCAGCAAGGAGCAGGAAGGACCAGGAAGGAGCAGGAAGGACCAGGAAGGAGUAGGAAGGGUCCGCAAGAAGCAGAAAGGGUCAGUGUAACAGGACUAUGCUUUCUGCCUGGACACAUUUACAAUAAAACAAGUGGAUUUACAAAAUACCGAAUUGCAUGUUUCAUGUGAAUUACCAUUACCUGAGAAUAAAGCCAAACUACCGAACACCGGACCACCCAGGGGAACAAUUAAGUGAUACUUUACCUCCCAGCUCUUUUUAGCCAUUCGCAUGUUUCAGCACGAAUCCUUUGUGCUCAGAAUAGAUGGCCACCAUUUCGGGACUUUACACGUGUUCGCGGCCAUCUUACACACGAACAGCGGUGUUUGCCAGUGAUUGCAUGGAACUAAAAACGGAUACGCAAACAGGCGAACACCGCUGAGACCUCCGUGACACCAUAGAUUCGUGCCGGAACUACCGAACAACCGGCCGUUCGAUAGUUAGACUAAAGCUUACAUGGGGAUUCCAACGAACACCGGGAUGAAUGUGGAUGGCAAGGGUUUCGUGGGAUUUUAUGCACGAAUGAAGACCGACCGCAAGGCCAAAACUUGUGGAACUAUUUUCGGCUAGAAAGUCUGUGCGGUCGGUCAAAACUUCAAAGACCCAUAACUGACGAACCCCUCAACCGAAUGAGUUGGAAUUUGGAUAUGUUGUUCCCCUGAAUGAGAGCUAUCGGGCAAUACUAGAUUUAAAGAUGUACCCCCUGUUUUUGGGGUACAUCCAGAACUUGGGUAAAAUUGUGUAUGUUUUAAUUAUGUUAAAUGUUUAUCUGAGAGGAGGAGACGUUGGGGUUGUACCAUGUAUAUGAUUGGUUAUUGUGAUAAUUAUGUAGGUGUAGCCCUUUCCAGUGCAGCAUUGUAUAAAAGGAGACCCCUGUCAAUAAACAUCAGUUCUACUUGACCCUUCAAAACGUAGCCUCGUCUCGUUCUUGGAGGGGGGGAUUUAUUGUACAGUUACUCUGCCUCAUUUUACAGUGAUUCCUUCUUGUACCCUUGGAUAUCAUGGAUGGGAAUAAGAACUCCAUUACUUCACAGCAGCUUGCCUAGAAAAGGACGUCUCCAACGGCAGAUACCCCUUACCAGCUGGGUAGCCGUUACAUUGGUGGCAGCGGCGGGAUGGUCCUUUUCAUCCCCAAAGCAAGUGCUGAAUGGAGUCACAGUACGCUAGACUGGAGAGGCCCACACUAAAGGAUCUGUUGGAAACCAGGGGAAGGAGUGCCAGCAACCGACCAUGGAGAGAGCUGAUAGCUGACCUACUGGAGCUGGACGAGAUGGAUAGAUCCAUGGAGGUCGCUGACCAACCCACUCCUGUCAGCACGGAGGAUGACAUUACUAGCAUUGUACAGCGGAGGUUACUCCUGUAUCCAGCAACUUCCGUGGAACUCAUCGAACAGCUGUUCUGGGAAGCGAGAGCGGAGAUCCAAAAUAAGAGGGGACACGAACUUGAACUGGCAAGAGCUAGACAACCCAUUGCACAUGCAGUUCAUACUCCCCCACCCGCUGCUACAGGGCAGAAAAUACCGUUCACUGCGUUCAAAGCGUUUGUGGAAAGUGAGGAAGAGAUUGACGGGUAUUUGGCUGAUUUUGAAAGGCAGUGCUCACUACACCAGAUACCACCAGAUCAAUGGGUCACUAUCCUGGCUGGGAAACUAUCAGGAAAAGCAAACAAAGCUUUUUGGGCACUUACUGCAGAGGAUAUAUCGCAGUAUCAACGGGUGAAAGACGCACUGCUCAUCAGGUAUGCUGUAACCCCAGAAAGAUAUCGCCGCCGCUUCCGGGAGUCCAAAAAGAAGGCUGGAGACUCCCACAUGGAAUGGGCAAACAGGAUACAAAUCACAUUGGGUACGAGGGUGCAAGGCCAACACCGGAGAGGAAGUGUUGCAGUUGUUCCUAAUGGAACAUUUCUUCCAAGAUUUGGCUGUGGAUAUACAGGACUGGGUAAGAGAUCGCCGCCCUGCUAACUUAAACGAGGCAGCGCGGCUAGCGGAUGAGUACGCAGAGAUGAGAAAUGUGAGCCAGGGUACCACACGACCAACAGCUAAAGGAGAGCCACGCACCCCAACCUACGCUGCACGCACAGAGUUUCGGACUCCAGUACCCCCAGGACCUCCACGUCCUCAGGGGUCUAACAACUACCCCUGGGAUUCUUCUAAGGUGACGUGCCAUCGCUGCGGCAACACGGGACAUAUUGCUCGUUAUUGCCCUUUGGGAUCGACCAAUAAUAACUGGAGGCGCACAACACCUAACACAGAGAUCCCACCAUCACGCCCCUCUGCUGCCCACUGCCUGGAGACCGAAGGGAGCCCGGAGGAGUGUCUGGGAAUCUUGUAUGAGGCAAACCCGAUACAAGCCGCCUCCCCAGAUAACAGCCAGCAUCACCGCCAGGGGGUGCGUGUGAAUGGACAGGUAGCACAAGGCCUAAGGGAUACUGGCGCUACUAUCACUUUGGUUCAAAAACACCUUGUAAAGCCAGAACAUUUGUCUACUCGUAUAGUUGCUGUCCAUGUCGCGGGGGGGCUGUUUUUCACUUACCCACCGCCCGGGUACACUUAGAUUGGGGAGUCGGGUCAGGGAAGACCACAGUAGGCAUCAUGGACAAUUUACCUGCUGAAGUCGUGUUGGGCAACGACAUUGGCCCUCUUGUUUCAGCCUAUUUACCUACGCCUGCUGCUGCUUGUCCCGUGACCACCCGCUCACUGACCCAUAUCAAAGAUGAUCCUCCAACAGGCCAGGAGACCCAGGUAAGCCACAAACCGACACUUAGCACUAAUACAGCAGAGAGAACCAUAGCUUGGGACACCCCAGACGAGUUUGGGAGGGAAACUAGAGAGGACCCCACCCUCCAAAAGUACCGAGAAUUAGCAGACAGUGGAGGGGAUGAGCGUUUUAUAUGGGAAGGUGACAGGUUAUACAGAUUGACCGAAGGUAGGAGAAGAGGCUGUGUCCCUUCGCAGAAGCGCCAGCUAGUGGUACCCAGAAAGUACCGGUUGGAACUUCUACGAAUCGGACACGACAUCCCGUUGGCAGGGCAUCUAGGGGGUAACGCACCACCACACAGACUUUUUUCUGGCCUGGGAUCUCGAGGGACGUGCGGUGUUACUGCGACAUAUGCCAACGAGUAGGGAAGAGAGGAGAUCACCCUAAAGCUCGACUGUCACCCAUGCCUGUGAUCGAGGAACCGUUUAGCCGGGUGGCAGUCGACCUAGUGGGACCCCUACCUAACCCCAGCCCCUCGGGUAAGAAAUAUAUUCUUACAGUAGUGGACUAUGCUACACGCUACCCAGAAGCCAAGGAGGGAGAGAUAGAGCAUGAGGGUGUUCCUAUCGUGCCAUAUGUACUGGAGAUGCGGGACCGUAUGGGCCCGUGAACAUCUCCAGGCGGCCCAGGGCCGUCAGAAACAUUGGUACGAUCGGGGCGCCCGUCCAUCCAAUACCGCCCUGGUAGGUUCAAUGGGAACGCAAACGGACUGUCCAGGCAAACAGAACUUUUACCCUAACAGCAGGCCGGACAGCCCCAAGUUGACCCGAAAAGGAUCAAUCCGGGUCUGCCUGAGUGUUCCACAAAAGGGGAGCAGUGCUUUCUACCUGAACACAUUUACAAUAACACAGAUGGAUUUACAAAAUACCGAAUUGCCUGUUUCAUGUGAACUACCAUUACCUGAGAAUGAAGCCAAACUACCGAACCCCGGACCACCCAGGGGAACAAUUAAGUGAUACUUUACGUCCCAGCUCUUUUCAGCCAUUCGCAUGUUUCAGCACGAAUCCUUUAUGCUCAGAAUAGAUGGCCGCCAUUUCGGGACUUUACACGUGUUCGGGGCCAUCUUACGCACGAACAGCGGUGUUUGCCAGUGAUCGCCUGGAACUAAAAACGGAUACGCAAACAGGCGAACACCGCUGAGAUCUCCGUGACACCAUAGAUUCGUCUUUUUUGCAGCUUGAUCAGGUCUUUUUUGCAGCUAUUUAGUCUUGAUAAAGUCCCGUGGGCGGGACGAAACGCGUAGACGUGGCUGCACUUUAUCAUUGGACCCGCUGUUUUUUUCAGCUGCCUUUUUCAUGUUAUUUUUAUUUUUAUUUAUGAGUUAGAGCUCUUUGUGUUAUCGCAUCCCGGAUUUCUGGAGAGUAAAGAUCCUCAGAUAUACUGACCGCUGUUUUAUCUAUUUAUACCGCGGUCUUUUUUGAAGAUACCGACCGCGGUAUAAGCUCACAGUCUGUUUGUUUUUUACUUGUUGUAUCGGCGGGCGGUCUGUUACCACUACACCGCGGUCUUUUUUGAAGAUCCCGACCACGGUGUUUUUCAUCGGCAUCUGACGGAGGUCCGCUGCUCAGAACUCUUACUUACUUAUAUUUAUUUAUUUUUUAUUUGGUUUUUCUGUUUGAAGUACCCAUCUUCAUACAUAUACCUCGGUGGGGGGCCCACACCGAGGCAGGUACUAUUUUUCUUUAUUUAUUAUUAUUUUGUAUAUAUAUUUUGUGUUGUUUCUUUUUACACAAUUUGUAUUACUCUUUAGGCAGCUGUUUUGAUAUUUUUUCUUAUACUAAGUAUCUAUAAUUUAGAGUUCAUUCGUGUAUUGUCCAGAACAGUGGGUUCAUGUUUUUAUAUUCAUUUAUUGUUUGGUUAGAUUUAUUCUGAUUAUAUUUUAUAUGAGUCUUAUCUCAAUAAAUAUAUCAUAUUUUUUAAAGUAAUUUUGAGCGCACAUACUUUUUUUGAGCUAACAAUCAUUUUCAGACGCUUGUGAAACGUAUGUAGCUGCUAGUUUGAGUAGUUGAGAUCUAUUACACUGUGUAUCUAUCUUUUCAUUACCAUAGAUUCGUGCCAGAACUACCGAACAACUGGCCGUUCGGUAGUUAGACUAAAGCUUACAUGGGGAUUCCAGCGAACACCGGGAUGAAUGUGGAUGGCAAGUGUUUCGUGGGGUUUUUAUGCACGAAUGAAGACCGAACGCAAGGACAAAACUUGUGGAACUAUUUUCGGCUAGAAAGUCUGUGCGGUCGGUCAAAACUUCAAAGACCCAUAACUCCCGAACCCCUCAACCGAAUGAGCUGGAAUUUGGAUAUGUUGUUCCCCUGAAUGAGAGCCACCGGGCAAUACUAGAUUUAAAGAUGUACCCCCUGUUUUUGGGGUAAAUCCAGAACUUGGGUAAAAUUGUGUAUGUUUUAAUUAUGUUAAAUGUUUAUCUGAGGGGAGGAGACGUAGGGGUUGUACCAUGUAUGUGAUUGGUUAUUGUGAUAAUUAUGUAGGUGUAGCCCUUUCCAGGGCAGCAUUGCAUAAAAGGAGACCCCUGUCAAUAAACAUCAGUUCUACUUGACCCUUCAAAACGUAGCCUCGUCUCGUUCUUGGAGGGGGGGAUUUAUUGUACAGUUACUCUGCCUCAUUUUACAGUGAUUCCUUCUUGUACCCUUGGAUAUCAUGGAUGGGAAUAAGAACUCCAUUACUUCACAGCAGCUUGCCUAGAAAAGGACGUCUCCAAUGACAGAUACCCCUUACCAGCUGGGUAGCCGUUACAGUCAGCAAGGAGCAGGAAGUGUCAGCAAGGAGUAGGAGGGGUCAGCAAGGAGCAGGAGGGGUCAGCAAGGAGUAGGAAGAGGCAGCAAGGAGCAGGAGGGGUCAGCAAGGAGUAGGAAGGGUAUGCAAAGGGCAGAAGGGGUCAGCAAGGAGUAGGAAGAGGCAGCAAGGAGCAGGAGGGGUCAGCAAGGAGUAGGAAGAGGCAGCAAGGAGUAGGAAGAGGCAGCAAGGAGUAUGAAGGGUCUGCAAGGAGCAGAAAAGGUCUGCAAGGAACAGGAAGGGUCAUCAAGGAGCAGGAAGGGUCAGCAAGAAGCAGGAGGGGUCAGCAAGGAGUAGGAAGGGUCUGCAAGGAGCAGGAGGGGUCAGCAAGGAGUAGGAAGGGGCAGCAAGGACCAAGAGGGGUCAGCAAGGAGUAGGAAAGGUCAGCAAGGAGCAGAAAAGGUCAGCAAGGAGCAGGAGGGGUCAGCAAGCAGGAGGGGUCAGCCAGAAGCAGGAAGGGUCAGCCUGGAGCAAGAGGGGUCAGCAAGGAGCAGGAAGGGUCAGCAAGGAGCAGAAGGGGUCAGCAAGGAGCAGAAGGGGUCAGCAAGGAGCAGAAGGGGUCAGCAAGAACCAGGAAAGGUCAACAAGGAGCAAGAGGUGUCAGAAAGAAGCAGGAAGCUUCAGCAAGGAGUAGGAGGGGUCAGCAAGGAGGAGGAGGAGGGGCAGCAAGGAGCAGGAAGGGUCAGCAAGGAGUAGAAAGGGGCAGGAAGAAACAGGAGUGGUCAGACAGAAGCAGGAAGGGUCAGCCUGGAGCAAGAGGGGUCAGCAAGGAGCAGGAAGGGUCAGCAAGGAGCAGAAGAGCAGGAGGGGUCAGCAAGGAGCAGGAGGGGUCAGCAAGGAGUAGAAAGGGGCAGGAAGAAACAGGAGUGGUCAGCAAAAAGCAGGAAAGGUCAGUAAGGAGCAGGAGUGGUCACAAGUAGCAGGAGGGGCAGCAAGGAGCAGGAAGGGGUCAGCAAGGAUUUGGAAGGGGCAGCAAGGAGCAGGAGGGGUCAGCAAGAAGCAGAAAGGGUCAGCAAGGAGCAGGGAACUGCAAGGAACAGAAAGGGUCAGAAAGGAGCAGGAGGGGUCAGCAAGGAGCAGGAAGGGUCAGCAAGGAGCAGGAGGGGUCAGCAAGGAGCAGGAGGGGUCAGCAAGGAUUAGGAGGGGUCUGCAAGGAUUAGGAGGGGUCUGCAAGGGGCAGGAGGGGUCGUUAAGGGGCAGGAGGGCUCAGGAAGGGUCAGCAAGGAGCAGGAAGGGUCAGCAAGGAGCAGGAGGGGUUAGCAAGGAGUAGGAAGAGGCAGCAAGGAGUAAGAAGGGUCGGCAAGGAGCAGGAAGGGUCAGCAACGAGCAGGAAGGGUCAGCAACGAGCAGAAAGGGGCAGGAAGAGCAGAAAGGAGCAGGAGGGGUCAGCAGGAGCAGGAGGAGGAGUCAGAAAGGAGCAGGAGGAGUCAGCAAGGAGCAGAAAGGGUCAGCAAGGAGCAUGAGGGGUCAGCUAGGAGCAGGAGGGGUCAGCAAGGAGUAGGAAGGGGAAGCAAGGAGCAGGAAGGGUCUAAGGAAAGAUCAGCAAGGAAUAGGAAGAGUGGAAGGGGCAGCAAGGAGCAGGAG
This 8925-nucleotide long non-coding RNA is filed under the name Pelobates cultripes (western spadefoot toad). Lineage: Eukaryota; Metazoa; Chordata; Amphibia; Anura; Pelobatidae. The record is from RNAcentral.